CCGAUGAUGCAAAGUAUGAUACAACGUCGGUACUUUUAAAUGCCUUAAUGUUUAAUUUUUAUAGCGACAAAAAGAUUUGGGUAACCGCUACUGAUGUACGUGAAUUUCUAAGAGGAUCGUGGGCUAAUGUUUCACCGAUUCAUGUUUAUAUCAUGUAUUUAGUAGACAACUUCAUCGACCUUUUCAACAAGACUGAGAUCACAUUCUUUUGUCCUCAACUCAUUUCUGAAUCUUCAAUUGAGAAUGAUUACCUUGAAACUUAUACAUAUGUGAAGAAUACAUUUUUGCAUGAAGUAAGAAAGACGGGUAAAUGUUUCAAAUUCAUCGUGGCUCCAUAUGUUGCAAGGUUCGAAAUAUGUUUUUUAUACUGCCACUAAACUUAAUCAUAUAAAUGAUAUGUUUUUCACCAAUUUUCCAAUAUUCUAACUUGUGUUUUCCUCUUAAAUGAUGUAAUGGUCAUCGGGUUCUUGUGGUGGUCGAUCUACAAUUAGGUUUAGCUUAUGAGUUUGAAUCUAUGAAGCUACCUAAAGAAAAACCACGACAAUUGAAAAUUGCCGAAAUUAUGAUGACGUGAGCCACAACCUUGAAAUUAUGCCCUAGUUUCUAUAUCAUUUUUGUAUGUGGUGUUGUAGAUUAUUUUGUUCUAAGUGUUAGAAUAUAUAUUAUAUUUUUGUUGGGCUUAUAAAGUAUAUCGGGCGAAUCUCACAGGGAGUGAAUUGAAAUCACAUAGGCAAAAAUUGAAAUUCAUACAAAUGGAGUGUUCACAACAACAAGGAGGAGUUGAAUGUGGCUACUACAUUAUGAGAUACAUGUAUGAGAUUGUUAGUUCUCACAUGGAGUGCAAAGGUGUCUUAGAGAAGGAUUUUUGUCCAAGGACAGCCAUGUAUGAUGUUGACGAGUUGAAUGUGGUUUGAGAACAGUGGGCGCAAUACUUUAGAAUUUAAUCUUUAUUGAAUGCAUAACUCUUAGCUUAGGUAGAACAAAGUAAUAUUUUUAGUGUUGUUGUAUAUGUUGGAUAAAUUUAUACAAGUUUUUAUUUGUAAUGUGUUACUACUUCAGUUUUU
This is a long non-coding RNA of Chenopodium quinoa (quinoa), 1064 nucleotides long. RefSeq lists it as uncharacterized. The transcript has 4 exons. The record is from RefSeq and is a predicted model, not a curated record. Lineage: Eukaryota; Viridiplantae; Streptophyta; Magnoliopsida; Caryophyllales; Amaranthaceae.